RNAcentral lists this non-coding RNA (889 nucleotides) under Fusarium oxysporum f. sp. lycopersici 4287. RNAcentral's name for it is "Eukaryotic small subunit ribosomal RNA". It matches the Rfam family "Eukaryotic small subunit ribosomal RNA", at positions 1 to 900 of the family's 1831-position model. The record is from Rfam by way of RNAcentral. Lineage: Eukaryota; Fungi; Ascomycota; Sordariomycetes; Hypocreales; Nectriaceae.
UACCUGGUUGAUUCUGCCAGUAGUCAUAUGCUUGUCUCAAAGAUUAAGCCAUGCAUGUCUAAGUAUAAGCAAUUAUACCGCGAAACUGCGAAUGGCUCAUUAUAUAAGUUAUCGUUUAUUUGAUAGUACCUUACUACUUGGAUAACCGUGGUAAUUCUAGAGCUAAUACAUGCUAAAAAUCCCGACUUCGGAAGGGAUGUAUUUAUUAGAUUAAAAACCAAUGCCCUUCGGGGCUCACUGGUGAUUCAUGAUAACUCCUCGAAUCGCAUGGCCUUGUGCCGGCGAUGGUUCAUUCAAAUUUCUUCCCUAUCAACUUUCGAUGUUUGGGUAUUGGCCAAACAUGGUUGCAACGGGUAACGGAGGGUUAGGGCUCGACCCCGGAGAAGGAGCCUGAGAAACGGCUACUACAUCCAAGGAAGGCAGCAGGCGCGCAAAUUACCCAAUCCCGACACGGGGAGGUAGUGACAAUAAAUACUGAUACAGGGCUCUUUUGGGUCUUGUAAUUGGAAUGAGUACAAUUUAAAUCCCUUAACGAGGAACAAUUGGAGGGCAAGUCUGGUGCCAGCAGCCGCGGUAAUUCCAGCUCCAAUAGCGUAUAUUAAAGUUGUUGUGGUUAAAAAGCUCGUAGUUGAACCUUGGGCCUGGCUGGCCGGUCCGCCUCACCGCGUGUACUGGUCCGGCCGGGCCUUUCCCUCUGUGGAACCCCAUGCCCUUCACUGGGUGUGGCGGGGAAACAGGACUUUUACUGUGAAAAAAUUAGAGUGCUCCAGGCAGGCCUAUGCUCGAAUACAUUAGCAUGGAAUAAUAGAAUAGGACGUGUGGUUCUAUUUUGUUGGUUUCUAGGACCGCCGUAAUGAUUAAUAGGGACAGUCGGGGGCAUCAGUAUUCA